UACGUAGGGUGCGAGCGUUAAUCGGAAUUACUGGGCGUAAAGCGUGCGCAGGCGGUUGGUUAAGUCUGAUGUGAAAGCCCCGGGCUCAACCUGGGAAUGGCAUUGGAAACUGGCUGGCUAGAGUGUGGCAGAGGGGGGUGGAACUCCGCGUGUAGCAGUGAAAUGCGUAGAGAUGCGGAGGAACACCGAUGGCGAAGGCAGCCCCCUGGGCUGACACUGACGCUCAGGCACGAAAGCGUGGGGAGCAAACAGG
Molecule: ribosomal RNA, 253 nt
Filed under: uncultured bacterium
Lineage: Bacteria
Description: partial 16S ribosomal RNA
Rfam family: Bacterial small subunit ribosomal RNA
Source: RNAcentral